UACGUAGGUGGCAAGCGUUGUCCGGAUUCAUUGGGUUUAAAGGGUGCGUAGGCGGAACGAUAAGUCAGUGGUGAAAUCCUGUAGCUUAACUACAGAACUGCCAUUGAUACUGUCGAUCUUGAGUAUAUUUGAUGUGGGCGGAAUGUGUCAUGUAGCGGUGAAAUGCUUAGAUAUGACACAGAACAUCGAUUGCGAAGGCAGCUCACAAAACUAUAACUGACGCUGAGGCACGAAAGCGUGGGGAUCAAACAGG
Molecule: ribosomal RNA, 253 nt
Filed under: uncultured bacterium
Lineage: Bacteria
Description: partial 16S ribosomal RNA
Rfam family: Bacterial small subunit ribosomal RNA
Source: RNAcentral